UAAUAUUGGGGUUUCUUCUUUCUCUGCUUAUUUCAGAUUUUUUUAUAUCUUAAAGUGAUUAAUCUGCUCUGCUCUCCCUGUGUACAUCCUCUUUGUUUUCACAACUGAGUUGGUUAGUUUGUUGUUCUUUGUCUUUGUUUUAUAUUUUGUUGUACCUGUUAUUUAUUCGGAAAAAGGUUUAAAAUUGCUGCGAUUUAUGGGUGUUGCUCUGUAUUCUUCUUUUUAUAUGCUUUACCUAAUUGUUUACUUGGCAAAUUUAUAUGUUUUAACCUAAUUUUGAGCUGUAAAAUUGGAGUUUAAACCUAAUUUCUUUGGAUUUUUUCCAUUGCUAAGCCUGAAAUUUAACUAAUCUUUUCCUACUGUGCUUCUUGUCUAAUUGUUAUUUUUCUACUAACAAAAUAUUCAUCUUUUCCAUUUUCUAAACACCCAUCGCUGCUUCAUUCUCCAAUUGUGGUUGCUUCUUCUGAAGUACUUUUAUUUUAUUACUCAGUUGUUCCUUUAUUUAUUCACCGGUAUGAACUCUUAUUUUGGGGAUAUUUCCUUUUUUCACUGUGUGUCUUUCCUUUCUGCUUUAUCUAUUUUUUCGGGUAAUCGAAUCUUUAUACUUAUUUGGUAAUUAUUUGGGUUCUUCCUUGGUUUGAUUUUAUACUUAUUUGGUAAUUGUUUUGGUUCUUCCUUGGUUUGAUUUUGUUUCCCUUCUUUUCCUCUGAAUACCCGUUUUAUGAUUUCUACAAUUUGUGAUUUCUAACUCUAUUCAGUUUAUUUUUCCAGCAUCAAUGUAUACGGGGGUUAGUCACAAUCACAUAGAAAAGGAAAAACUAAGCUAUCUUGUUCCUUCUCUUUUUUUCUGGUUGGAAAAAGCAACAUAGGAGGUGUGAGGGUUAAGAUUUCAUAUUUUGCAUCUUUGGUUUUAACAGUCAAGGAUGAAUAAAAGACUCAAAAAAUAAAUUCUCCUAAAAUUAUGUCAAUCUGGAGUUAUCAUUAGCACCCAAAAUAAUUAUUCUUUCCUCUAUUGCUCUAUAGGUGUUUAAGUUUUCUUCUAUAGAUCAUGAAACUUCAGACUAAUACUAAAAAAUACUGAUUUUAUAAAUUAAUAAUUACCCACUAACAAUAAGUUAGAUUUUAGGUACAUCCAUGAAAUUACCUAAUAUGAUUUUUCUAAAAAAAGGCACCAUUCAAACCAAAUUCAAAGUAUAGUAUCAGGUUAGUAUUAAAUUUCUUAUCAGUAUUUCAUCAGUUUAGUUGACAUUAUUUGAGCUCUAUAUUGCUUUGGUAGCGAUUUUGCUGCUAUUUAUGAGACCUCCACUAAUCGAAGUUCUCUGCACCUUCCCGUUCAAUGUAGAUUUCCCCAAUAAAAAAAACUAACAAAAAUAGAGGAUGCCAAUUAUUUCAAUAGCUUCGCAGUGUACUCUUGGUUGUCCAUUGAAUUGAAAAUAUGGGUUCAAUUUUUAAUAUCAGUUGAAAUUUUAGUGGUAUUUUGGGCCAUCCAUAGGGGGUUAAAUCAGCAAUAUUGAACAUAAUGGUAUGCAAACUCUUUUGAUGGAUAAUCUAAAAAUUAAGUUUUUCUUAUGUAUGAAGAGGAAAGGGUAUUGAUAUGCUUGCUCUGGGAAUUCUCUACCAAGCUAAGUUUUGUUUAGUUUAUGAAAAGAGCAGGUAGAAAGCUGGGAUUUUUGUUCAUUGACGAAAAACGAUUUGGAGGUCAUUCUGAGCUCAUUGUCUUUUUUUUAUCAGAAAAUGUGAAUUCUGAGCUCAUUGUGUAAAAGCAUACUGUGUCUUUUCUUGCAACUAUCCCAAUGUGCAAGUGGAGUAUGAAUAUAUUCAAACGUCAUAGGAGUAAGCGAUACAGAACUGGAGCAGAGCGGAAAUAACUUUCAAAAAAUUUACAAGUACAAGGUAGAAAUAGUUUCCCUGCUAAAAUGAAUUCCCCAUCAGAGUGGAAGCUUUCUUUGUACUCAUACUUGCAAUGUGUUUUGUGGAAUAACAGUCUUUCUCCAACUGGUUUGUAAUUAAUAUUGAAUUUCUCUCAUAAAUUUUAUAUCUACUUCUUUUUUGUUUUUUUUAUUGGCUGACUCAUAUUUGUAAUGUGGGAUGAUUUGUUUCUGUAAUUUUACGGAUAUCAAUAUGCAGGUUAUAUUGAUAAAAUGGAAUAAAUACUUAGUAUCAGUGAAAUUACACCAUUAAAUACAGAAUGGACUUGCAAAGUCCAGACUGUAGACAAAUUUCGGCCGCGAGACAGCAGAGAUCAGCGAGUUCGUUUUCAGACAAUAUUUGUCCAGGAUGAAAACAUAAGUCAGGUUACAACUAUAAUUGUAACAUAAUAUCUUCUCACUUGCACUCUUCCAAUAAUUACUGCAUUAUUGUUCUUAAUAACAUUAUAGGAGGAACAAAUUUGUGUAAUACUCUAUGGUGAUGAUAUUAGACGCUGUGAUAACUUGUUCAAAUUUUUUGAGACGUAUCUGAUUUCAACUGCAAAAGUUAGAAAUCCGUAGCCUUAUUCACUACAUAUCAGCCAGUUUGAAUGGGACGUCGACAUAUUCACUAUUGUGGAGUCUAUUCCAAACAAUAAUGAAAAUGAGGCACCGUUACCUCCUCUGUCGAGACUGAGUACAUUUUCGUUCCUUGAUCUUGAACAACAGCCUUGCGGUGUUGAAUUUGAUCUAUUAGCUGUGGUGGAAAACUGUGGGGCAAUGCAACACACCGCUGAUCAGACUAAGAGAUUUCAAGAGGCCGUAGUUAUGGACAACAAGAAGAAACUUCUUUUCUUCACUAUAUGGGAAGACUUGGCAAGCAACGAAAGAACUGAGUUACUGAGACAAGUGAGGCAACUGCAAGAAUGCCCUGUUAUUGUCGCGAAACGGAUAGCUACCACAAAAUACGAUGGUGGCGGAAAUUUUUUACGUCGAAGGAGAAAUUUCGCUACCUGAGCAUUUUCAACGAUUUUAUCUGCUAGGUUGUUAUGAAUGUAAUUAUCUUGUUCUGAGCAAAAUAAAAAGAGAGGCUCAAUGCAUAAACUGCAGACUGCAACGAAUGUUAAUUCUAAGGUGCCACUUUGAGGUGGAAAUCACAGACGAAACUGGCACAACUACAGCAACAGUGACUAAAGGCUUGGGUGAAAGAAUGUUGUCAAUGAGGGCUGAACAAAUAUAUGAUAUCGUUAGUGUUAAAGUACAUACACAUACAACGCUACAGU
Non-coding RNA from Nicotiana tabacum (common tobacco), 3190 nucleotides. Lineage: Eukaryota; Viridiplantae; Streptophyta; Magnoliopsida; Solanales; Solanaceae. The record is from RefSeq and is a predicted model, not a curated record.